CCGUUGGGGGGCACUUUUCACACCUCUUUUAGGCUCGUGGUAAUCCCCCGGAGAUAAGAUAACUUUUAUUCCUUCACUUGAACACCUUACUUCUUUUCCUCUCUCCUUUUCCCCCCGUUGCGGUUAUAACUCUUCUUUCAUUUAUAUUUAUUAUCCUGGUGGUACUGAGAUAAGGAGUUAGUCGUGAGAAUAUGUAAGGUAAAACUCUGCUAUAAGAUGGGUUACGAAAGGCUAGAUUAGGACAGGUUAGGGAAAAUCAGGAUGGUAUGUGGGUAGGUGGGUGGGUAGGCAGGCAGUCAGGUUGGUAGGUUGGUUAGUAGGUAGGCAGGCAGUCAGGUAGGUAGGUUGGUUAGUAGGUAGGCAGGCAGUCAGGUAGGUAGGUUCGUUAGUAGGUAGGCAGGCAGUCAGGUAGGUAGGUUCGUUAGUAGGUAGGCAGGCAGUCAGGUAGGUAGGUUGGUUAGUAGGUAGGCAGGCAGUCAGGUAGGUAGGUUGGUUAGUAGGUAGGCAGGUUGGCAGGCAGGUAGGCUGGCGGUCGGGCAAGCAGGAAAGCGAGCGGACGGUCGGGGUAAUGAUAGAGGUAUUGGUUUUCGAAAUGACAGAUUGCUAGAUAGGUGGAAGGAGGAAGACGAGGAGGAGGAGGAGGAGGAAUGGGGUUAAGGAGGAGGAGAAGGAGCGGAGGGAGAUGAUGAUGAUGAUGAUGAUGAUGAUGAUGAUGAUGAAGAAAUGACAUCAUGGCAGUGGUAAUAUUCAUAAUAGUUUGUUGACGCAGUUUGAAAUAGUAAGAUAAAUGUGUCGAUGUUUCUCCGUAGAGUGUUAGUGUUUAGGUGCGCGCUUGCAAACACACACACACACACACACACACACACACACACACACACACACACACACACACACACACACACACACACACACACACACA
Long non-coding RNA from Eriocheir sinensis (Chinese mitten crab), 919 nucleotides. RefSeq lists it as uncharacterized. The transcript has 2 exons. The record is from RefSeq and is a predicted model, not a curated record. NCBI's taxonomy places the organism in Eukaryota, Metazoa, Arthropoda, Malacostraca, Decapoda, Varunidae.